ACACCGGCAGCUCUAGUGGUAGCUGUUUUUAUUGGGCCUAAAGCGUUCGUAGCCGGUUUGAUAAGUCACUGGUGAAAUCCUGUAGCUUAACUGUGGGAAUUGCUGGUGAUACUGUUGAACUUGAGGUCGGGAGAGGUUAGCGGUACUCCCAGGGUAGAGGUGAAAUUCUGUAAUCCUGGGAGGACCACCUGUGGCGAAGGCGGCUAACUGGAACGAAACUGACGGGGAGGGACGAAAGCUAGGGGCGCGAACCGGAUUAGAUACCCGGGUAGUCCUAGCCGUAAACGAUGCGGACUUGGUGUUGGGAUGGCUUUGAGCCGCUCCGGUGCCGAAGGGAAGCUGUUAAGUCCGCCGCCUGGGAAGUACGGUCGCAAGACUGAAACUCAAAUGAAUUGACGGGG
This 401-nucleotide ribosomal RNA is filed under the name uncultured bacterium. Its description in RNAcentral is "partial 16S ribosomal RNA". It matches the Rfam family "Archaeal small subunit ribosomal RNA", at positions 473 to 873 of the family's 1478-position model. The record is from RNAcentral.